This 460-nucleotide ribosomal RNA is filed under the name uncultured bacterium. RNAcentral describes it as "partial 16S ribosomal RNA". It matches the Rfam family "Bacterial small subunit ribosomal RNA", at positions 338 to 795 of the family's 1533-position model. The record is from RNAcentral.
CCUACGGGAGUCAGCAGUGAGGAAUAUUGGUCAAUGGACGAGAGUCUGAACCAGCCAAGUAGCGUGAAGGAUGACUGCCCUAUGGGUUGUAAACUUCUUUUAUAUGGGAAUAAAACGUUCCACGUGUGGGAUUUUGUAUGUACCAUAUGAAUAAGGAUCGGCUAACUCCGUGCCAGCAGCCGCGGUAAUACGGAGGAUCCGAGCGUUAUCCGGAUUUAUUGGGUUUAAAGGGAGCGUAGGUGGAUUGGUAAGUCAGUUGUGAAAGUUUGCGGCUCAACCGGAAAAUUGCAGUUGAAACUGGCAGUCUUGAGUACAGUAGAGGUGGGCGGAAUGCGUGGUGUAGCGGUGAAAUGCUUAGAUAUCACGAAGAACUCCGAUUGCGAAGGCAGUUCACUGGACUGCAACUGACACUGAGGCUCGAAAGUGUGGGUAUCAAACAGGAUUAGAUACCCUUGUAGUC